Poecilia latipinna (sailfin molly) is the source of this 369-nucleotide long non-coding RNA. RefSeq lists it as uncharacterized. The record is from RefSeq and is a predicted model, not a curated record. The transcript has 3 exons. NCBI's taxonomy places the organism in Eukaryota, Metazoa, Chordata, Actinopteri, Cyprinodontiformes, Poeciliidae.
GUUCUGGGCUUUUCUUUAAGAAAGGUCUCUCCUCUUCGGCUUCCCGUUGGGGAGUGGCCUGGAGUGGAGCUGCACGCCUGAAGCUAGUUGGAUCAUCAGUCGAGAGGAUUUAAGGAGCCAUCGGACCUCUCCUCUCCGCCGGAUGAUUAUCCCUCCACGGAUCUGGCCAACUUCCACCGGUGAAUCUACCUGCAGCUUUCAGAGCCUCACCUGCCUGCCCGCUCCAGUCCACUGCUCGAUCGCAUCCUCCCCCGUCAGAAGCCUUCCAAGAAGACGCGUGACUCGGACCUAUAUCCUCGGAUCACCUGCAGAACCUUCAGGUUGUUUCUUUUUUUUAAAAUAAAAAUAAUAACUCACCAGUUGUUUCCG